RNAcentral lists this ribosomal RNA (352 nucleotides) under Agathomyia falleni. Its description in RNAcentral is "SSU rRNA". It matches the Rfam family "Eukaryotic small subunit ribosomal RNA", at positions 625 to 912 of the family's 1831-position model. The record is from RNAcentral. Lineage: Eukaryota; Metazoa; Arthropoda; Insecta; Diptera; Platypezidae.
CGUUCGUAGUUGAACUUGUGCUCCAUACGGGUAGUACACCUAUAAUUAUGGUUUGUACAUUACUCUAUUGUAUGCGAGCGUAUUACCGGUGGAGUUCUAAUAUAUUAAGAUACUUGUAUUUUUUUGUAUACCUCCUAUUUAAACCUGCUUCAGUGCUCUUCACCGAGUGUUGUUGUGGGCCGGUACAAUUACUUUGAACAAAUUAGAGUGCUUAAAGCAGGCUCCAAAUGCCUGAAUAUUUUGUGCAUGGAAUAAUGGAAUAAGACCUCUGUUCUACUUUCAUUGGUUUUUAGAUCAAGAGGUAAUGAUUAAUAGAAGCAGUUGGGGGCAUUAGUAUUACGACGCGAGAGGU